CCCCCUGCCUGCUUCCCUCCUUCCCCUAGCGGUUGAUUGCGAGGAGCAGCGGAAGGAAGGAUGUAUCAAACCGAAAGAAGAAAGAACCCCUGCCAGUCGCCCCCAUGACAUCCGACUCUGAACGGCAGCGAUCUCGAGGCUGCAGCGUGUCGCAGAUUAACAGCAGCGAGGGCAGGAGGCAAAUCAGAUGCUGCAAGAGCUGACUGUUUUCUUUAGCCCUGAGAGCUGACUGUAGGCACAGGUUGCAUAUCAAAGGCAACAGGAAUCAGUCCGUGGCAAUAUUACAUCAGGGACCUUUUCAGUAGAGCCUCUUAAGACACAUGUUUUGGAAUGCAGUCAAAUGCGUGCUGCUGUAUGACCAGCCUAUUCGAUUAUGCCUCCAAAUCCUAUGGAAGUGUAACAACCAUAGAGCAGACAAACACCAACAGCAUCAACAACAGAGAAACUCAGUCCAGGAGGAUAUGAAACCCUUUGUAAUAAAGAAAGCAACAGCCAUGAA
Long non-coding RNA from Rhinopithecus roxellana (golden snub-nosed monkey), 499 nucleotides. RefSeq lists it as uncharacterized. The transcript is spliced from 3 exons. Lineage: Eukaryota; Metazoa; Chordata; Mammalia; Primates; Cercopithecidae. The record is from RefSeq and is a predicted model, not a curated record.